RNAcentral lists this ribosomal RNA (738 nucleotides) under Triticum aestivum (bread wheat). RNAcentral describes it as "partial small subunit ribosomal RNA". The record is from RNAcentral. Lineage: Eukaryota; Viridiplantae; Streptophyta; Magnoliopsida; Poales; Poaceae.
AUGGGCAGAAUGCCCAAUGCACCCAAAAUCUUCAGCCGCAAGCAAUGGCAGAUCCUUGGAGCAGUUUUAAUUCACAGUUCACAAGAGAUCAUCGGAAACUACUGCUUGCCAAACGGCAAGGGACAAACUUUGAGCACUUCCAAGGACGUGAAUAUACUCAAGCCAAUAAGAAAAUGCCGAGGGAUCAGACUACUAUAUGGCCUGCAAGUACAGAUGCGGCAUUCCACGCGCAGGAGAUACGUGCCACAAGGUCGGGCUUUGACCAAUGAGUUACACGACCGACAUACUCGACGAACAGGGCCACGGUUAGUUAUGCAGCCGUUGAGCUGUGCAAGCUUCUUGCUUGGGGUGGCCGUCCUAUCGGCCACCCUUGAGCCCUUCGUCGCCAUUGCGCACAGAGAGUUGCUGACGGCAACCGACAGCGUGAGAGGACCGGAAACCAGGCUGGAGCCCACUGUCGACAAAACCAUCACAGACGAGGGAAGCAGAAGCAAUGCACUGACAAGAGGAGAGAUGGUUCUUGGAGAUGCAGCCAUGGAGAAGACGGAUGAUAGAAGCACGUCAAGCUCAGCUGCAAAACAUUCUGUUGGACAAUGUGGGCAUGGAGGAGGGAAGGAUCUGAGUAUGGACUGUUAUUUUAGGAGCAGGAAACUUCAUCCAGGGGCUUACUUCGAUGGCCACAUACCCUUCACCGCUGAUUACCGUAGACCACGGAACCACCCGCCCAAGAACAACUAG